GACUAUGGCCAUGCCACCUUGAACAUGCCUGAUCUCAUCUGAUCUCGGAAGCUAAGCAGAGUGGGACCUGGUUAGUACUAGAAUAGGAGACCACCUAGGAAGACCAGGUGCUGUAGGUG
RNAcentral lists this ribosomal RNA (119 nucleotides) under Pteropus alecto (black flying fox). Lineage: Eukaryota; Metazoa; Chordata; Mammalia; Chiroptera; Pteropodidae. The record is from RNAcentral.